UACGUAGGGUGCGAGCGUUCUCCGGAAUUAUUGGGCGUAAAGGGCUCGUAGGCGGUUUGUCGCGUCGGGAGUGAAAAUCCAGGGCUUAACUCUGGACUGGCUUCCGAUACGGGCAGACUAGAGGUAUGCAGGGGAGAACGGAAUUCCUGGUGUAGCGGUGAAAUGCGCAGAUAUCAGGAGGAACACCGGUGGCGAAGGCGGUUCUCUGGGCAUUACCUGACGCUGAGGAGCGAAAGUGUGGGGAGCGAACAGG
This 253-nucleotide ribosomal RNA is filed under the name uncultured bacterium. RNAcentral's name for it is "partial 16S ribosomal RNA". It matches the Rfam family "Bacterial small subunit ribosomal RNA", at positions 524 to 776 of the family's 1533-position model. The record is from RNAcentral.